RNAcentral lists this ribosomal RNA (151 nucleotides) under uncultured Chryseobacterium sp. Its description in RNAcentral is "partial 16S ribosomal RNA". It matches the Rfam family "Bacterial small subunit ribosomal RNA", at positions 355 to 503 of the family's 1533-position model. Lineage: Bacteria; Pseudomonadati; Bacteroidota; Flavobacteriia; Flavobacteriales; Weeksellaceae. The record is from RNAcentral.
UGAGGAAUAUUGGACAAUGGGUGAGAGCCUGAUCCAGCCAUCCCGCGUGAAGGAUUAAGGUCCUAUGGAUUGUAAACUUCUUUUGUAUAGGGAUAAACCUACUCUCGUGAGAGUAGCUGAAGGUACUAUACGAAUAAGCACCGGCUAACUC